Molecule: non-coding RNA, 66 nt
Organism: Podarcis lilfordi (Lilford's wall lizard)
Lineage: Eukaryota; Metazoa; Chordata; Lepidosauria; Squamata; Lacertidae
Source: the annotation of a GenBank genome assembly
GAGCGCAGUUGGUAGAGUAUGAGGCUCUUAAGCUUAGGGUUGUGGGUUUGAGCCCCACAUUGGACA